RNAcentral lists this ribosomal RNA (496 nucleotides) under uncultured bacterium. RNAcentral's name for it is "partial 16S ribosomal RNA". It matches the Rfam family "Bacterial small subunit ribosomal RNA", at positions 28 to 506 of the family's 1533-position model. The record is from RNAcentral.
GAUGAACGCUGGCGGCGUGCCUAAUACAUGCAAGUCGAGCGAACAGACGAGGAGCUUGCUCCUCUGACGUUAGCGGCGGACGGGUGAGUAACACGUGGAUAACCUACCUAUAAGACUGGGAUAACUUCGGGAAACCGGAGCUAAUACCGGAUAAUAUAUUGAACCGCAUGGUUCAAUAGUGAAAGACGGUUUUGCUGUCACUUAUAGAUGGAUCCGCGCCGCAUUAGCUAGUUGGUAAGGUAACGGCUUACGAAGGCAACGAUGCGUAGCCGACCUGAGAGGGUGAUCGGCCACACUGGAACUGAGCCACGGUCCAGACUCCGACGGGAGGCAGCAGUAGGGAAUCUUCCGCAAUGGGCGAAAGCUUGACGGAGCAACGCCGCGUGAGUGAUGAAGGUCUUCGGAUCGUAAAACUCUGUUAUUAGGGAAGAACAAAUGUGUAAGUAACUAUGCACGUCUUGACGGUACCUAAGCAGAAAGCCACGGCUAACUACGU